RNAcentral lists this ribosomal RNA (442 nucleotides) under Meyerozyma guilliermondii. RNAcentral describes it as "partial large subunit ribosomal RNA". It matches the Rfam family "Eukaryotic large subunit ribosomal RNA", at positions 124 to 573 of the family's 3401-position model. The record is from RNAcentral. Lineage: Eukaryota; Fungi; Ascomycota; Pichiomycetes; Serinales; Debaryomycetaceae.
GCCUUCGGUAGUCCGAGUUGUAAUUUGAAGAUUGUAACCUUGGGGUUGGCUCUUGUCUAUGUUUCUUGGAACAGGACGUCACAGAGGGUGAGAAUCCCGUGCGAUGAGAUGCCCAAUUCUAUGUAAGGUGCUUUCGAAGAGUCGAGUUGUUUGGGAAUGCAGCUCUAAGUGGGUGGUAAAUUCCAUCUAAAGCUAAAUAUUGGCGAGAGACCGAUAGCGAACAAGUACAGUGAUGGAAAGAUGAAAAGAACUUUGAAAAGAGAGUGAAAAAGUACGUGAAAUUGUUGAAAGGGAAGGGUUUGAGAUCAGACUCGAUAUUUUGUGAGCCUUGCCUUCGUGGCGGGGUGACCCGCAGCUUAUCGGGCCAGCAUCGGUUUGGGCGGUAGGAUAAUGGCGUAGGAAUGUGACUUUACUUCGGUGAAGUGUUAUAGCCUGCGUUGAU